Molecule: ribosomal RNA, 469 nt
Filed under: Novosphingobium sp.
Lineage: Bacteria; Pseudomonadati; Pseudomonadota; Alphaproteobacteria; Sphingomonadales; Sphingomonadaceae
Description: bacterial SSU rRNA
Rfam family: Bacterial small subunit ribosomal RNA
Source: RNAcentral
GCAAUGCCGCGUGAGUGAUGAAGGCCUUCGGGUCGUAAAGCUCUUUUACCAGGGAUGAUAAUGACAGUACCUGGAGAAUAAGCUCCGGCUAACUCCGUGCCAGCAGCCGCGGUAAUACGGAGGGAGCUAGCGUUGUUCGGAAUUACUGGGCGUAAAGAGUACGUAGGCGGUUAUUCAAGUCAGAGGUGAAAGCCCGGGGCUCAACCCCGGAACUGCCUUUGAAACUAGAUAACUAGAGUCUUGGAGAGGUUAGUGGAAUUCCGAGUGUAGAGGUGAAAUUCGUAGAUAUUCGGAAGAACACCAGUGGCGAAGGCGACUAACUGGACAAGUACUGACGCUGAGGUACGAAAGCGUGGGGAGCAAACAGGAUUAGAUACCCUGGUAGUCCACGCCGUAAACGAUGAUGACUAGUUGGUCGGUCACUUGGUGACUGAGUGACGCAGCUAACGCAUUAAGUUAUCCGCCUGGG